UCAUGGUUCAAAAUAACAACAUGGAUUUACUAAGUAAUCUAGUCAUAUACAUAACAAAUUUAAUGUAUAAGAAGGCGUCUCUAACUCUAUACAUAACUAAUUUAUGUAUAAGGCUGAAAUAACAACAAAACACACUUAUAUAACAAUGUAAAAGAAUGCGUAAAUCGAUAAAAAAAAUACAGGUUCAACAACAAAUCACUAUACCUACAAAAGACACGAUCGUGAUGGUUUUUCACUUUUUAUCUUACUUGAAGAUUUAACAAUGAAUUUGUUAGAGCUUGUACGAGCAAAUUUCCUUGACUUCUUCAUCUUGGCGGGAUCAUUUCGGUGUUUCGAUCUAUUUUCUUUAAAACCCGGACCAGACUCCAUUACUAUGCUUAAGCUUUGAGAAUUAUGCACAUGCAACAAGUAUCUCAUAGAUCUUUAAUUUAGUAGAGUUAGAAAAUUUAAAAAAUUAAACUAACCUCAAAAAUAAAUUAAAGAAGAUGAUGAUGUUCAGCAACUUGAUAAGAUAAGAUUUGUAAAUUCAAAUCUUGAAAUCUCUUAAUUAUGGUUGCUUGAUUUUAGGCAUAAAUUAUGGAGGUGUGAUAUGUAUAUGGAUAUGGAGGUUGAAGAGAAAAAAAUGUAAAAAUGGGAU
RNAcentral lists this long non-coding RNA (637 nucleotides) under Capsicum annuum. RNAcentral's name for it is "long non-coding RNA (CANN_LNC005526)". The record is from RNAcentral. Lineage: Eukaryota; Viridiplantae; Streptophyta; Magnoliopsida; Solanales; Solanaceae.